AAUAAUAAACCGUAGAUAAAGCAGUACUGUAAUUGAAUUUAUUAUUUUCAAUUCUUUGAUGUCUAGGUAUAUAACUUAAUAUGUGAGAUUAUAAUUUAAUCAAUGAAUAUAUUACAUCAUAUAGUCAAUCGCUAUUUACAAAAAUAACCUCCAUAGGUGUUAUAUAGAUAAAUAAUUGAUAUAUAAACACAGUUGUAAGGAUUCCUGUUUGCAAAUCUAAGGAAAACCUAUCCAUAUGGAUAAUAGUUGAAUCUGUGGUGUUCUAUGUACAUAGAAAAAAGAAAAAAGAAAAAAUGAAUAAAAAAAUGAAAAAAUGAAAGAAAUAUGAAAAAUGAUGAAAAAUUGAAAAAAUAUAAAAGAGAAAAAAAUGGCCCAUGUACUGUGACGACACUUUCAUUGCGGACAACUCCGAUUUGAUACACAGCAGCAACAACUUUGAGGGAGACAUAUGAGGACCACAUCUGACACCUUUAUUGAGUCCUUUUUUCAGCGCACAGCAGGAAUUCAGCAGUUUAAAAUCCUCCAAUAGACACUUCACAGAGUCUUCAUUCAUUCAUUUUUUCCAGUUGCUACUAAGGCUACAAUCCAUCUGGAUAUUCAACUUGGUGAGAUCCACCUAUUUAUUAUAUAAAGUGCACUAUUCUCUGGACUAUUGUACAUCAGGACAUUUACUAUCUGU
Non-coding RNA from Pelobates cultripes (western spadefoot toad), 679 nucleotides. Lineage: Eukaryota; Metazoa; Chordata; Amphibia; Anura; Pelobatidae. The record is from the annotation of a GenBank genome assembly.